CCCCGGAGGGAAGUGAAGAGUGAGGGCUGAGCCGCCUACAAGGGAGGGAGGCUGCCUCAGGGCCUUGAGCCGCAAGGUCCCACUGCGGCACGUGAGCUGACGCGAGCUGCCAGGGACUCCGGCGCCGGCGCGGGGCGCAUCCCUGGGAAUCCAUCCUUGGGAGCCGCUGACAGUCCAGCUCCAGGCUGCCCCAGAGCUCCACAACCCGUCAGUCUUUUCUCCUCCAGUUGUGGAAGGCAAGAAGAGGCGCAGACCCAUCAAGAGUGCAGAAGAUACUUAUGGAGCAUCGAUUAUGAUGAGCCCAGCAGCCCAAGGUUAAACAGGAGAGUUCCCUUCCAGAACUUACUGAUGUGCUAAUUGAAUAUCUUACAUGAACCACCACGAUUCACCCACCACGAUCCACCCACCACGGUCCACCCACCACGGUCCACCCUGACACCUUCUGCUCCAAGAGUCUAGAGCAGUGCCUGGCACAUUGAAGGCCCUCGAUAAAUACCUACUGAGUGAAAGAAUCACUUAUCACAUGCCAAAUUCUGUGCUAGGAGAUGGGAACCAGAGCCUAUUUCAUGGGGAUGUGACCUUUGCUGAAUCACAGGGCGCCACACUUGGUUGAAGGCUGUGCUGUCACCAUCUUGAAAUACCUAAUACACUUUGAAUGAGGAGCCCAUAUUUCCAUUUACACUGGGCUCUGAAUUCUAUGAUGAGUCCUGAUGGGGAUGUUCCAGUGUUACUACCUGUAUGAAGGUUUGAUCUGGAGGAAGGAAUUCUAAGAAAAGAUAUAUACCACGAAUAUGUAUUUUAACAUGAAAGAUAUAUGUGUGUACAUACACACACACACAUCUGCAUGAAUCUUUUGAUUCAGAGCUAAUGGCUUUUCUGUCAUCUUUCUUGUAUAAAACACACCCUUAAUGCAUCGUCCAUGAUUUCCUGUUUUCAUUUCUUGAAAGGGG
Long non-coding RNA from Orcinus orca (killer whale), 950 nucleotides. RefSeq lists it as uncharacterized. The record is from RefSeq and is a predicted model, not a curated record. Lineage: Eukaryota; Metazoa; Chordata; Mammalia; Artiodactyla; Delphinidae. The transcript is spliced from 4 exons.